Molecule: long non-coding RNA, 4019 nt
Organism: Cydia pomonella (codling moth)
Lineage: Eukaryota; Metazoa; Arthropoda; Insecta; Lepidoptera; Tortricidae
Exons: 2
Source: RefSeq, a predicted model, not a curated record
CAAAAAAUAAGUAGAGGAUGGUGUAGAAACAAAUGGUUAUAUUUGUGAUACCUAGUCAUCUUACGUCAUCUCCUAUAUUAAUAAUUCCGUCGAGGGGUACGGUAGCGCGAAUGAAAGGAUACUCAAAUGAAAGAUCGUAAAAAAAAUAUGAGUAUUGAAUCGACGACAUAAUUUGGCAAAAUUUGGUUUGUCGCGUAUUUUGCAUUUAAAAGUGUUUAUGUGUUGAAUUCGGAAAUUGCACUAUGUUUGCGUCCCGCUUCUUGGCCAGGUUAGCUGGCAGCGUCUAGGUCUCAAAAAAACUAUUUUUAAAGAACGACUACUGUCUGUGUAUAAGCCUCAACAUCAAUUGCUUCCACAUCGAAGAGCUCCUGGGAUCGAUUUGUUUGAUGACUUUAAGGUCACUUAUGAAAACAUUGAAAAGCUGGAGGAAUCAAUUAUUGCUACUUCAGUGUGGCUGCCACCAGUUCGGCACUGACAUAAACGCGUAUAUGUCAGUUUUGACACUGUCACUGACUCAUGGUACGGGUACUGAAGGGGAGGAAGAGCACGAGGAUUGAGAACAAACGAAAAUUAAUAUUUGUCAUCAGUUUCGCAGGCGGCAGCGGAUAUUGAGUCAUAACACAGCUGUUUCAGUUGUUUGGCCGACGUCUCUUUAUUGACUGCCUGGACAUUACAGUUAAGACGCUUACAUGUUAAAAUCCCUAUAUCUAUACAUACCAUACUACAUCUCGGGGGUAAAAAAGAAAAAAGUUACCAUUUUUUUUUAUUUUAGUCUUGUUUGAUAAUGUUAUGAUAAUCACUUAUUUUUCUUCCAGUUUGGAGUUUGUUGUUCCCAUAUUUUAUUUGUUUUUUUCCCGACGAUUUGAUAUAGGUAAGCAGGUAGGUAAGUAGGUAAAUCAUAGCACGAAUAUUUUCACGAGUUCCAUUCUUGCAGCGAGAUGACAUUUAAAUUUUAAAAAACAAAACACUAGCGUUAAUAAGAAAGAAAAAAUAUACCGGCCAGUACUUAAAAAAGUUCAAAUUUUACCAUGGAGGUCAAAUAUACUAUUUAAGAAGAUUGUAAUCCCGGUUUCCGGAUAUAUAAAUAGCAGCCCUCGUACUUAUUCCUUUUGAAAUUAUGAAGUAGAGUAGCAUACCUCGAAAUUGAAUAUUAUGAUUAUUUGCCUACUAUUUGAUUUGUCAAUAAUUAUGACUAAAAAUGAUGAUGUUGAAAUUGUUUUUCUUUAGGCUAGUCGAUAUUGAACCUGCCUACUAUGUAGACACGGUCUCGAAUUUUGAUAAAGGCAUUCGUUAAUGUAUGUAACAAUUAACGGUCAAUUAGAAUUGCUAUAAUUACACAAUUAUUAUAAUACUAUUCGCUUGCUCAGGACUCAAAGUUGGAACUUAGAGCUCGAAACAAAAACUAACCUGUUUUAACUAUCCUGCAAUAGCUACCUCCGCGAGUUACGGGAGAGAGCAACGAUGCCCUAUUGUCGGUCGUAACAUGUGAUUAUUGAAUGCAUCGUGGAGAGCUUAUAAUAUUAAUAUAAUUAGUGUAUGUAACUGUAUACAUAAUUAGCGUAUAUACACUCGUGUGAUCUUUUUCUGGAACUCACUUUGUUCAUUUCAUGAGCCUACACUCGUAUUUGAAUGCCUGUUAUUAUGUAGCAGUCACAUAAACUACAAUUAAAUGUCUUUCUGGUUCAGUGUUUUAUCAAUGUGCACGUACAGUCACGCUCCGUGAUUGUUGAGCCAUAGAGAUAGUGGUUCUAGCUAAAUUGGGCAUUCAAUACCGUAAGUAUAAGACUGCAACAAUUUUAACAAAUUUAAAAAUAAAUUACGCGAGUAUGUAAUUAAUAACGUCUAUGUCCAGCCCUGGGCGUUGCAGCUCGGAAACAAGGAAUUAUUAUCGAUAAACUGGUUACCAUUGUAUUGAUGGCCACAUGUAUACCAAAUUGAACUUAAAGUGUAGGUAAUUAGGAUCGUUCUGUUUUUAAUAUGUAUUUGUGUUACUUAUUCUCUAAAAUGAACUUGUACUGUAUUUUAUGUGCAAGUCUCUGGCCUUUAAUAGUGCUACCUGCAGUGUGCUACUAUUAAUUAUUGUGACAAAAACGUCUUAGUCUAAUUAGUCAUUGUUUUUGUUUGUUUUGUAUAACUUGCGAUGCUCACUGAUUUUGAUUUAAUAUAUAUUCUCAUUAAGUGAAAAAUAAAAUUUCUUUUGAGAAAUAAAGUUCUUUAAACAUAAGUAUUGAACAACCAGUUUAGCUAGGACCCUAUAGAUUACUAGGUUUUUAACCGAUUUUCGGUUUCGAGUUCCGAGUUUAACCGAUACUCGGCUAUCGGUUAUUUUGCAUUCCCUAGUUGCGACCAAUCGCAAGCGUGAUGCGAACUCAUCAACCAAUCGCGUUGAAGCAUUCCAACGAGACACACCAAACGAAAAUGAUGGGUCGGAAUUGGGCUUAGCACGCACUGCGGUUUUUUUCUUGCGGUUGCGGUCUGGCCGAAAACGCCGAACCGCGGAGGAACUCGCACUGCGGUUGCGUUUCCGCGGUUUUCACGUUCAGUAUGACAAUGGAUUUCCUCAGAGCAGUAUGUGUUGUGGCCUUAGUUUUAAGAAAUAAAAAAAAUAGAAAACGUCUUCGCCAAUAUAAGUACUGGGUGCAUCCUCUAACAGAUCAAAGAUAUUUGAAGGCAUACCGGCAACGCUUCACUUUCGACCGGCAACGAACUUUCGGACUCCGACGACAUAAUGCAGCGCACAACACACACCUCACUGCUCCGCUCUCUGAGCCGAACUGACGAAAAAACCGCUUUUUGGGAACCGCAGUGGGGGCGCUGCCGUACAUGAAGUAUGGGAUACAUAAAAACGCGCGGUUGCAAACCGCGAAUCAAAAUGUAGCAAGUUGCGUUUUUAAAAUCAGUCACUGAAAUAAAUCGCAAGUGCGUGCGCUUAUAAAGAAUGCCGUACGUUACAUUUUUUGCGGUAGCGGAACCGCUUUUUAAAAACCGCAGUGCGUGCUAAGCCUUAUACGAACGUGCCUAUCUUAACUUUUGAAAUCUUUGGGCGAUACAGCGUACCCGGUUUUUACGAGUAAAUAUUUGGUUGUAUAAUACAAAACUAUAUUUAUCCUUGCAUAAACAUUUAAUCAGUAUUCGUACAUUUAAUAUAUUCAUUAACGAUAUACAACUACAUGCUGAUAUAUAAGUCUACAUAUAUGUAUAAUAUUGGAACAUUGCUACAUUAAUUACUUCAUAAUAAAAAUCCAAAAAUAUUGUAUUACCUACGAGUGUUCUUUUGACUCUAUUUCAAAAUAAAUUCACAUGUACGGUACGCCAGACCGAUUUACAAAUAUAAAAUAUUAUGUAUACCCAAAAUUAAUGAUUGUAUUCAUAACAACAGCGAAAAAUUCUAAUAUGUACAUGGAAUUCCCAUAAGUUAUAUUAAAUUGUAUUAUCAUGUAGCUACCAACAUGCAGCCAGCGGCCUGAAGACUGAUAGUUUCCUUUCCAUACAACACCGCGUGCAUUAGGUACCUGGUUAAUUUAUUUUUGGGCUAUAAAAAUGAUAGCUAGCUUGGUGCGUGUGGCCACUGUGACCUUUUUAAAGGUGGCCUUUUUAAGGCGUACGUGGGACCCUAAAAUUUUUCGAGGGACUCAGAUGCUUUAGUUUGACCCUAAUUUAACCACCGCCCUGUAAUACUCGUAUUCCGUCUUGGAAGAUAAAAAUAGCAGAAAUGUCAGUUCACACGCAAAUCAAAAAUGCAAGAAUAAUAAAUAACUUUCGUGUAAAAUAAUGAUGAGACGAUUUAUCAGUUUUGACAGUCUUCAUUGCCUCUGCUACAAACUUAAAUGUUCGGAUCUAAGACUAAAUAUGCUUCGGUACAACAUGUAGGGUUAAAUAUUUGUUUCUGUGCUAUUAUUUAUGUAAGUAUUACAUACGUAGAUUAUAGGUAGUUAUGUAUUUGGCACAAUAUAAAUUCUAAUUAUAGUAUAAUUAAAGUAUACUUAUAUUAAUUAUAUGCUCGUUUUCAGCAAUUAAAA